AUUGAACGCUGGCGGCAUGCUUUACACAUGCAAGUCGAACGGCAGCGCGGGCUUUGGCCUGGCGGCGAGUGGCGAACGGGUGAGUAAUACAUCGGAACGUGCCCAGUAGUGGGGGAUAGCUCGGCGAAAGCCGGAUUAAUACCGCAUACGACCUGAGGGUGAAAGCGGGGGAUCUUCGGACCUCGCGCUAUUGGAGCGGCCGAUGGCAGAUUAGCUAGUCGGUGGGGUAAAGGCCUACCAAGGCGACGUUCUGUAGCUGGUCUGAGAGGACGACCAGCCACACUGGGACGGAGACACGGCCCAGACUCCUACGGGAGGCAGCAGUGGGGAAUUUUGGACAAUGGGCGAAAGCCUGAUCCAGCAAUGCCGCGUGUGUGAUGAAGGCCUUCGGGUUGUAAAGCACUUGUGGCGGGAACGAAAAGGACUGUGCCAAUACCACGGUUCGAUGACGGUACCCGCAGAAUAAGCACCGGCUAACUACGUG
RNAcentral lists this ribosomal RNA (484 nucleotides) under uncultured bacterium. Its description in RNAcentral is "partial 16S ribosomal RNA". It matches the Rfam family "Bacterial small subunit ribosomal RNA", at positions 29 to 507 of the family's 1533-position model. The record is from RNAcentral.